AAUCUCAUCCUGGCCAUACAUCUUCCUCCGUGCAACUUCCCACAGAUCUCGCACCCAAAUUCCCCCCUUCAUCUAGCCCCAUCUUGGUUCUUGGGGUGUUUGUCCGUAUGUCGGGGAGGGUGCCUCUCAACUUGUCGAGGGUCAGAUCGGUCGGUGUAGUGGGGUUUAUGCACUGGUGGCCGAUGGAUUGAGUCUCUCGAGUCAAAGGGACGUUUGUGUCCAAUAGUAACUGACUUCUCUAGCCUUACCUCACUUUGGGCUUCUCUAGGGCCUUGGCAAUUUUCAAAACUUCUUCAUAUGUGUCUAUGGAGUCCCACUGUGCAGCAGAUCUUCGAGUCCAGACCCAAAACAUAUUUCUCGGUCAUGUUUUGUUCAGUGUCGACCAAUGAUAGCGCAAAUCUUUUUAAUCUCAUAAACUCUCUGUCAUAUCUAUCCAACGAAUGUCCACCCCAGGUCAAAUGGGUGAAUUCCUGCUGCUAUUUCUUGAGU
Long non-coding RNA from Cucurbita moschata (crookneck pumpkin), 489 nucleotides. RefSeq lists it as uncharacterized. The transcript is spliced from 3 exons. The record is from RefSeq and is a predicted model, not a curated record. NCBI's taxonomy places the organism in Eukaryota, Viridiplantae, Streptophyta, Magnoliopsida, Cucurbitales, Cucurbitaceae.